This 466-nucleotide ribosomal RNA is filed under the name Odontopodisma carpathica. Its description in RNAcentral is "partial 16S ribosomal RNA". It matches the Rfam family "Archaeal large subunit ribosomal RNA", at positions 1946 to 2649 of the family's 2987-position model. Lineage: Eukaryota; Metazoa; Arthropoda; Insecta; Orthoptera; Acrididae. The record is from RNAcentral.
CUGGCCUGCUCACUGACAAAGUUUUAAAUAGCCGCGGUAUUUUGACCGUGCAAAGGUAGCAUAAUCAUUAGUCUCUUAAUUAGAGGCUUGAAUGAACGGUUUGACGAAAAAUCAUCUGUCUCUUAUUAAAUUAUAGAAUUUAACUUUUAAGUAAAAAGGCUUAAAUUUUUCUUUAAGACGAGAAGACCCUAUAGAGCUUAACAUUUAAUUUUUAUAUUAUUUUUAGUUAAUUUCUUUAUAUUUAAUAAUGAUGUUUAGUUGGGGUGACAUGAAGAAUAAAUAAACUCUUCAUAAUAAAAUCAUUAAUUUAUGUUUAUUAUGAUCCAUAAUUUAUGAUCAUAAGAUUUAGUUACCUUAGGGAUAACAGCGUAAUUGUUUUUGAGAGCUCAUAUUGACAAAACAGAUUGCGACCUCGAUGUUGGAUUAAGAAUAAUUUUGGGUGCAGUAACUCAAUAAUUAGGUCUGU